Long non-coding RNA from Schistocerca piceifrons (Central American locust), 157 nucleotides. RefSeq lists it as uncharacterized. The record is from RefSeq and is a predicted model, not a curated record. The transcript has 3 exons. NCBI's taxonomy places the organism in Eukaryota, Metazoa, Arthropoda, Insecta, Orthoptera, Acrididae.
AGCUCCAGAAGUCAGUCACCAGCAGCAAAUGUCACACAGUUAUAAAAUGGGAAACUUGAAGAAUAAGUUAUAGCUCCAGAAAACCGCCACCAGCAGCAGAUGUCACAGUUAUAAAAUGGGAAACUUGAAGAAUAAGCUCCAGAAGUCAGCAGCAGCA